RNAcentral lists this non-coding RNA (31 nucleotides) under Rattus norvegicus (Norway rat). Lineage: Eukaryota; Metazoa; Chordata; Mammalia; Rodentia; Muridae. The record is from RNAcentral.
UGUGUGAUGGGUUUGCCGCGAUGAUGUCAGC